RNAcentral lists this ribosomal RNA (292 nucleotides) under uncultured microorganism. RNAcentral's name for it is "partial 16S ribosomal RNA". It matches the Rfam family "Bacterial small subunit ribosomal RNA", at positions 505 to 796 of the family's 1533-position model. The record is from RNAcentral.
GUGCCAGCAGCCGCGGUAAUACGUAGGUGGCAAGCGUUGUCCGGAUUUAUUGGGCGUAAAGGGAGCGCAGGUGGUUUCUUAAGUCUGAUGUGAAAGCCCACGGCUCAACCGUGGAGGGUCAUUGGAAACUGGGAAACUUGAGUACAGAAGAGGAAAGCGGAACUCCAUGUGUAGCGGUGGAAUGCGUAGAUAUAUGGAAGAACACCAGUGGCGAAGGCGGUUUUCUGGUCUGUUACUGACACUGAGGCUCGAAAGCGUGGGGAGCGAACAGGAUUAGAUACCCUGGUAGUCC